UUUUAAUGCAGUAAUGUUACAUAUUGUACCUUUAAUAUUCUGAUAUCUUUCAACAAGAGUUAAAUAUAAAUAACUUGUUCCCUUCCUGUUGUGUCUCCAGACUGAGUGGCUGUAAUCUGUCAGAGAGAAGCUGUGAAGCUCUGUCCUCAGUUCUCAGCUCCCAGUCCUCUAGUCUGAGAGAGCUGGACCUGAUUAACAACAACCUGCAGGAUUCAGGAGGGAAGCUGAUCUCUGUUGGACUGACGAGUCCGCACUGCACACUGGAGACUCUCAGUCUGUCAGGCUGUCUGAUCUCAGAGGAAGGCUGUUCUUCUCUGGUCUCAGCUCUGAGCUCCAACCCGUCCCAUCUGAGAGAGCUGGACCUGAGCUACAAUAAUCUAGGAGACUUUGGAGUGAAGCUACUGUCAGCAGGACUGAAGGAUCCUCUCUGGAGACUGAACACUCUCAGGUUAUCAACCUACUAACUAACUAAUCAACUAACUGACUAACUGGAAUUAAAUAAAAGAAGUCAGAAGAAAAUCGAGUUGUCCCUUGCGUCCUUUAGUCCUUAAAGAGGCCUUUUUCAAGUUUGGGCAAAGAGCUGAAGUGUGAACCAUACACAACUUGACAGUUGAUAACCGCACCGUGGCAGUGAAGACAAAAGGAUUAACGGCCUGAAGUCAGGAAAGCUGUCGUCGCAGAGAGGAGGAUUGACUGACAUCUCAACAUGGCGGAGGAAGCUCUUGGGAAAACAGUGAAGGAGCUGAAGCAAAAAAGAACUUUAGCUAAAAGGCGUUUUACCAAGCAGCAAACUUCCUCAGCAGAGGCGCAAAACACAUGACUAAAAGAGAACUACAAGAGGAGUUCAAGAAGCUCACGUCAGAGGCGAGGAAGGUCAGUGAGACAAAUAACGAAUACAGGGCUGGCCUUCUGGCAGUCAUUGAAGCUGAAACCGAUGAGGGUGAAGAAGCAGAACUGAGCAAGCAGCAUCAGACUGAACUUGAGAAGACGUUCCAAGAAUGCAAAGCACGAUUGGAUGAGGUCAGGGAGAAGAUCCAGUCCAAUCUAUGGCCUAGAUAUGGCAAAAACGAGGUCAAGUCUGCAAUCCAUGAAGCUGAGACAGCCUGUGAUGGAGUUGCUCAAAUACCUGAAUGUUACAGCUGUAAACAGAGAUGGCUACGAGCUACGGUGGGAUAGUGCGAAAACACAAGUCCAAAAUGCAUUCACAAGCCUAGCAGAGUGGGAGAUGUGAAUUCCAGUGGCAGAAAAGGAAUUGAAAAAUUCUGCAAGCGUUGUGAUCUCCAGCUCUCUUUCCUCACUCAGAGUCAUUUCGUUGCCUCCUGGUUGACAAUUGCCGCACCGGCAUCCUCCACACUUCGGUUCGCAAGCUGCUCCAAUGCUGUCCCAUUCCCACCAAUCCAAGAACUAUCUGCGAGCAACUGUGCUUUUGGUUUCAGCUGUGCACUCUUGUGUUUUAGUUAUCUCUUGAUACUUUACAGCGGUUGCUCUCAUGGAUCGAGGAAAUUAUGUUUCAGACCUGAAUAAACAGAUCUGGAUGUGCUCCACCAACAGUCUUUCCUAGCGGGCUCUCCCAUAAGACAAGGUCUCCAAUCACCUUCACUCUUUGCGGCGCAAGUCUUCCUUCGCGGUGGCUUAUCAGUAGUUAAAUUCUCUCCGGUCUCCUCAGAUCUCCUAGAUUGAUUUCUGGGAAGAACUUCUUGAGUUGCUCAGGUUUGAUGACUCUGUGGAUGUUGGGAAUUUCAUUCAAACCAUAGCAGACAAGCUCUGUGCCUCUUGGCAUUUUGAUCCUCACUCUGAGGAGAUAACCUUCACGGCCAUUCCUCCAACUCCUUGGACGACUAAAGUGAUGUUUUCACUUCGGAGAUUUAAUCUCCUGGCAGCUCUGUUGUGAUAUAAUUUGUGUCUGAUGCCAAGUCGAUCAGGGUUCCAAUUGUUUGUCCUGCAUUGGCAGUUACCUCGAGCGGCAUUAGAAUAACUGGCAAUUCUUCUACUACACUUGACGCAAUCUCUCCAAGCUGGAUCUUUUCAACACAGUUCGUCUUUGCGGUGAUGUUGGUGAACACUCUCUUGAAUUUUUCCACCAUCUCUGGGGAGAGCUUAGAAAGGACCAGUAUGGUAUGUCAGCCACUUGGUGGCACCAAACCCACACUCUGUCACAACACCUGUGCGACUGGUAUGGAACAGCAGCUGGAAGUUUAAAGGGGUCAGCAUGAAUGACCUGCUGCUAAAAGGGCUUGAUGUACUCAAUCCCAUCUGAGCAGUACUACUCAGGUUCAGAAGAGGUGUCCAUGCUGCUCUUGGAGACAUCAAAAAGAUGUACAAUUUGGUGUGGUUAGAAGACCUGGAAAUGCACCUCCACAGAUUUCUCUGGAGAAACACUGAGGAGGAAGAGAUUGAAGAGUAUGCCAUCACCAGAGUCAACAUUGGCGAUCGACCAGCAGGGUGCAUUGCACAACUGGCCAUGAGAGAGACAGCAAAACUGCCCAUGUUUGCUCACCUGGAGGAGGAACGUAGGAUCCUUGAAGAGGAUGCCUAUGUCGAUGACAUCCUGACUUCCCAUAAUGACUUACAAAAGCUGGACAAGAACACUAAAAGAAUUUAAGAGAUCCUGAGGACAGGCGGAUUCUUCCUCAAACCCUGGGUCCGGUCAGGCCAAAGUGGGAGGCAGGAGAUCGUACCAGGAGAACAAGGAGCAGAGUCAAGCACAGUACUCUUUCUCCCAAACCAGAUGAGGAAAGGAGACAAUAAAGCCCUCGGAGUUGGAUACCUUGUUGAAGAGGAUAAACUGUACCCUAUGACUUCAAUCAAUUUCUCAAAGAGGAAAAAGAAGAUGACCGUCGGAAAAAAUCUCCUUGAUGAAGAGGUGAGAGGGAAAACUCCAAACCCACUGAUGAGAAGAGAACUGCUAAGCCAAGUAGCUAGCCUGUAUGACCCAAUAGGCCUCGUCACACCUGCCACAACAAAAGGGCGCCGUUCUUGUCAGAAAGGCGUUUCAAGAAGCUGGAGGCAAAACUGUGACCUGAGACACGUGGGACAAACCUCUGUCUGAAUAAUUGAGAGAAGAAGCCAUCUAACUGUUUGAGGAAUACACACGUCUUGGCCAAAUCACCUUCCACAGAAGCCUCACACUAGUCAACUGGAUUGGAAAACCAUGGGGAAUAACAUUCUCUGAUGGAAGUGAUAAGAGCUAUGGAGCCGUAGUGUACUUCAGAUGGGGAACUGAGCAAGGCAUCCAAGUAUCAAUGGUGAAAUGUUUGGUGAAAAAGCAUUUCACUGGAAUUCCUUCAUGGAAGAGGAGACUCUCAUUCAGACACAUUCAGCUCAUUUGGGAUUCUGGAGAUGCAACCGCCCGAAUAUGAAAUGAGUAAAUGCCAACCCUACCCCCUCCAACCCUGUGAGUGAUGUAAUGCCCCUCCCCCCCC
This is an RNA transcript of Perca fluviatilis (European perch), 3422 nucleotides long. It is a transcript of the gene named ribonuclease inhibitor-like, with no coding region annotated. The transcript is spliced from 4 exons. NCBI's taxonomy places the organism in Eukaryota, Metazoa, Chordata, Actinopteri, Perciformes, Percidae. The record is from RefSeq and is a predicted model, not a curated record.